Molecule: transfer RNA, 72 nt
Filed under: Bos taurus (domestic cattle)
Lineage: Eukaryota; Metazoa; Chordata; Mammalia; Artiodactyla; Bovidae
Also listed under: 6 other names
Rfam family: tRNA
About the family: Transfer RNA (tRNA) molecules are approximately 80 nucleotides in length. Their secondary structure includes four short double-helical elements and three loops (D, anti-codon, and T loops).
Source: Rfam by way of RNAcentral
UCCCUGGUGGCUCAGACGGUAAAGCGUCUGCCUACAGUGCAGGAGACCUGGGUUCAAUCCCUGGGUUGGGAA